Paramisgurnus dabryanus is the source of this 2252-nucleotide non-coding RNA. Lineage: Eukaryota; Metazoa; Chordata; Actinopteri; Cypriniformes; Cobitidae. The record is from RefSeq and is a predicted model, not a curated record.
GUACACUUUACUGACGUAAUUUGAAUCCUUGUAAUCGUUUCAUGAUUGGUUACUACCCCUGCCCAUCAAAACUUUGCUGGCUAAGCAUUGGCUGGCUUUGUUUUGGCGUAAUCCAGUCAAAAGCCUAUGGUGAGCUGAAGGACAUCUCUCUGGGCAAAUCGGUGUUCCCGUGACAUUUUGAGUUGUCAAACCCUAUCUGAUUGAACAAAACAGAAAAAUAGGGCGGGAUAUUUAUCGGAAGAGUCUAACGAAGCAGGAAGAGAUGGAUUUUCACUGAUAAAACUCGAUAUUUGAUAGAAAAUAAACAUGAUCGAUCAUACUUAGCGGACGCGCGGAUGUAAACAAAGGAGGAUAUUGCUGGAUUUAUCACUAUUUUUCGUUGUUUUGGAUUAAAACGUGGGAUGCUUUUUGAAGAGUGGACCCUUACGUUGCAAUGUACGUUGAAGUUUUUGGGAAUUGUCAGAAAUGAUCAGAACCAUAUGGCAAGAUAUUUACAAAAGGUGAUCCUUCAGUAUGCCAUUCCUACUUCAGUAAGUGACCUGUCAAAGGAAAUAGAAAAACAAUGUAAUCUACAAGGACAUUUAAGGCUGCAGUUCAUGGAUUUUGACUUGGGCAAUUAGUUUUUAAAUCUCAUGUCCACAUCUGAAAUUCAAGACAAAAGUACACUAAAGGUGGCAUUUCUGACAACACCAAGUGAUUGUGACAACUUGCCCUCACCACAGCUGAACAGUUCUCAAAGGAGUACCUGCUCAUAACCAGCUCUUUCACUUUCAUCCUGUGACACAGUCAUUUGUCAACCCCAUCUACAUCAUUAGGCUCUGACUGUGUUGCAAAAGUGUGUCUUGCCAAAUAUAUAACAAAACUGAGAAAAAUUGGCUGUACUGAAGUGAAAUUAAGCCCAAACCAGCUGGAAUUUCCAGUUCUGCUUACCAUAUAAAAAAACAUGCAAACGCUGAGGUGAACUUCUGCCCUUACCAUCCACAAACGGAGACAUCCAAAACACUGAAAGUAGUCAGUGUAAUACUUCUGUCUGAAAUGAAAAAGAACAAUGAGAAAACAUUAUGAAUGCUGAUGGACAAGACCUUUUUUAUCAGGAGACAUGAGGUUGUCAAGGAAUCGCCUUCAAUAGCAGAUUUCAAAACUAGAUGGCCUGCUCUUUUCAGAAGGGAAGAGAUUUGUGCAGAGUUUAAAAGAAUCACAACAGCCUCAUUGGUGUCUACAUACUUGGCGAAGAUGAAUCAAUAUUCUGCAAAGCUUAUAAGGAUCUAUGCAAAACGAGGAGUCGUCAAUGGACAGAGAAUUAAAAACCUGCUGGUUCACAACACAGACUGACAACAUUGAUCAGACUCCGAUCUUUCUUUGUCUACCUGAAUGAAGACCCGACCAGUCUAAUUAAAGAGUAUUUGGAUACAGAUGCACCCAGUACCCAGGAGGCGAUCCAGAAGAUGGUGAUGGGAGUGCUUGUUGUAAAAAUGUAUGGUUCAGACAUCGAAGACAGCCCAGCAGAUGUUGGAGUGUUAUUAAAGGGAUUAAGAGUUCUCGGACCUCAACAACAUUGUGUAUGCGACAACCAUGCUGAUGGGACUGAAAUAUGCACUGAACUUGAGCUACUUUCCUGAAUUCAGGUACACUUUUGAAGUAUUGCAGUUGUUGUUUCUGGAGCUAGAUGGGAAGUAACUAUCUCAUAAAGUUCAGACCCUGAAGACCAAGCCUUUUGCAGAUGUUUUGAGAAAGGAAUGUUUUAAUAUUUCAUAUGUAAAUGCCAUGUUUUUGAAAUGGCAGUACAAUAACAUUCAGGAAGUAAGCAGUGUCGUCAAUUUAUUUUGAUAGUUUUGCAGUGUGUUUUUAUUUAAUUAGAUUAAUGUAGAGUUGUUUAAAGCUUUGGCUGUACGUAAAUAGUGCUGCAUCUAAUUUGUCAUGGAAUGUUCAUGUUUAUAAUGCUGUUACAGUAACAUUUAACUUAAAUUAUACCAAAGUUGUUGAAAAAUCUUUGAAAGUCGCAUGUGCCAGCUCUCUGAAUGGAGAGCAACCUAUUUUGUCAGUUAGCAUUACAGUUGGGUAAUACUGUUGUUUAAUUAUACUUAUCCGGGGGCUUGAAAAAAGUGCCUGAAUGGUGCUUCGUGCAUUUCAUUUGUCAGUAACUGUAAAAAAUUGUAAUGUUGUUAUAAGGUUACAUUGUAAUAUCCAAAGUUGAUGUGUGCAUCUCAUUUGUCGGUAUAUCCUUUACGGUAUCUGUAGUUUAAGUGCAAUAA